UACGGAGGGUGCAAGCGUUGCUCGGAAUUAUUGGGCGUAAAGGGUAGGUAGGUGGUCUUAUUUGUCUGGGGUGAAAGCCUUGAGCUUAACUCAAGAAGUGCCCCAGAAACGGUGAGACUAGAGUCUUGGAGAGGGUCGUGGAAUUCCCGGUGUAGCGGUGAAAUGCGUAGAGAUCGGGAGGAACACCAGAGGCGAAGGCGGCGACCUGGACAAGUACUGACACUCAACUACGAAAGCGUGGGGAGCGAACAGG
RNAcentral lists this ribosomal RNA (253 nucleotides) under uncultured bacterium. RNAcentral's name for it is "partial 16S ribosomal RNA". It matches the Rfam family "Bacterial small subunit ribosomal RNA", at positions 524 to 776 of the family's 1533-position model. The record is from RNAcentral.